GUGCAAGGAUGUUAAUAGCGUUCUUGCUUGACUAAGGCUCCGGAGGAAGCCACGGCUAACUCUGUGCCAGCAGCCGCGGUAAUACAGAGGCGGCAAGCGUUGUUCGGAAUUAUUGGGCGUAAAGAGCACGUAGGCGGCUGUGUAAGUCGGUUGUGAAAGCCUUCCGCUUAACGGAAGAACGGCAUCCGAUACUGCAUAGCUUGAGUGCGGGAGGGGAGAGUGGAACUUCUGGUGGAGCGGUGAAAUGCGUAGAUAUCAGAAGGAACACCGGCGGCGAAGGCGACUCUCUGGUCCGUAACUGACGCUGAGUGUGCGAAAGCUAGGGGAGCAAACGGGAUUAGAUACCCCGGUAGUCCUAGCCGUAAACGAUGGGCACUAAGUAGAGGGA
RNAcentral lists this ribosomal RNA (388 nucleotides) under uncultured Candidatus Brocadia sp. Its description in RNAcentral is "bacterial SSU rRNA". It matches the Rfam family "Bacterial small subunit ribosomal RNA", at positions 440 to 828 of the family's 1533-position model. Lineage: Bacteria; Pseudomonadati; Planctomycetota; Candidatus Brocadiia; Candidatus Brocadiales; Candidatus Brocadiaceae. The record is from RNAcentral.